UGAAUCAUUGAAUCUUUGAACGCACCUUGCACCUUUUGGUAUUCCAAAAGGUACACCUGUUUGAGUGUCAU
Molecule: ribosomal RNA, 71 nt
Filed under: Puccinia cyperi
Lineage: Eukaryota; Fungi; Basidiomycota; Pucciniomycetes; Pucciniales; Pucciniaceae
Description: partial 5.8S ribosomal RNA
Rfam family: 5.8S ribosomal RNA
About the family: 5.8S ribosomal RNA (5.8S rRNA) is a component of the large subunit of the eukaryotic ribosome. It is transcribed by RNA polymerase I as part of the 45S precursor that also contains 18S and 28S rRNA. Functionally, it is thought that 5.8S rRNA may be involved in ribosome translocation.
Source: RNAcentral